UUAAUGGGAUGAGAUUCAACAAGGCCAAGUGCCGGGUCCUGCACUUCGGCCACAAUAACCCCAUGCAGCACUAUAGGCUUGGGGAAAAGAGGCUGGAUGACUGGCCUCUUCUGCCAGGCAACAAACAGGACCUGAGGAAAUGGCUGCAAGUUGUAUCAGAUGAGGUUUAGGGUGGACAUACGAAGGAACUUUUUCUCUCAGAGAGUGGUCAGGCACUGGAAUGGCUGCCCAGGGAGGUGGUGGAGUCGCCAUCACUGGCAGUGUUCAAGAAGCGCCUGGAUAGGGAGGUAGGAGAGAUGGUUUAGGGGUUUCCUGUAGGUAUGGUGGAGGGAGGAUGGUUGGACUGGAUGAUCUUAUAGGUCCUUUCCAACCUUGUGAUUCUGUUGGUUGCAUCGCCUGCAGCUCCCAGUGCCACCUCUGCCCACACCACAGUUCCAUGGGCAGCUGCUCUUCUCAUGCAGUAAUGCCUCGAAAGCGGAAUAAAACCGGGUCUGUUUGUCUUCCACGAUGGUUUCAGGCCAAUGUAAAUCAAUGGAAAAAAUGUGACAGCUCAGAAGAGCCGUGUGGAAACUUCCAUCAGAGCUGUCACUGCGAGCAGCUGGAGCAGCCAGAAAUAAUAUUUAACUUUCUCUUGAACUGUUCUGAGAUGGACAGAGCGAGCACAGCCUGUCUGAGCAUCUGAUAACAGCAGUGCUGAUGGGUCAGGGCUGAGUGAGAGCAGGGAGAAACACCACAGAGCACUGGGGGGAAGGAUCUACAAAUGGGAGAGCUUUCAGGAGGGGCUGGUUUGGCUCAGCCAGGCACCAACACCAUCACUUUGUGCACUGCCUGGUGGCUCCUUUCCCUUGGAAAACAUGGCAAACCAUCCUUCCAACCCACCCUGCUGCAGUGCUCCCAGGAGAUGGAUACCACUACAACCCCCAACACCUGCUGAAGGCCACCUGCAGCAUCUCAGUGUCUCCACAGGGGGAGAUGAAACAUAUCACUAAUUUGUCUCAUUUAACUCAUUCAGCAGGACUGAAAGCACUCGCUGCGCUCUGUGUUGAGACUCAGAGCAUUUACCACUCCAUGUUCCGCCACUGUUUCCAUUUCACUCCUGUGUUCUCUUUUCAUUCCUUGCUAUGAGAACCCCACGGACGGGCUGCCACAGGACAGAGCACACAGCGGGACAACCACUGCUCCACCAAAGUACUGAAUCGUUGGCUCCACUGAAAUAAAAGGCGAAUUACCCUCAGUGAAGGAGCUGGCUGAGGUGGUUGCUGAGCUGCUCUCCAUCAUAUUUGAGAAGACAUGGCUGUCAGUACUCACCCAAAGGACCAUCGGGAUUCCAUUGGAAUGCUCUCAUUAAGUGCCGAGGUCCCGGAGGGGCUCAGACACACAGCGGGCAUUGCUCUGCUCAGCAUCACUGCAGCUGGGCAGUGUUUGCAGUGGCAGGACAGCACUGUCUCACUGCUGAAGCUGAGAGCAGAACGCAAGACAAGCAACAGAGCCUUCCCUGGAGGCGAGCACAGCCCCAGCCCAGCACGAGUACCUGCAUCCCUGCCCAUCCUGGCAGCACCCACCUCCUCACCUGCACUGCCAUCUCCGGAGGUUCAGUGUGGGGACCCUCUGGGCAAAGGCUCAUUCACACCCUGGGGAAUGUUCCGUCUGGGUUUGCAGAAAGGCAUUUUAAAUGAAAAACAACCAGCUCUGGAACGCAGGGUACAUCCUGGCUGGUGUAGAUCCAUGGUGUAGAUCCAUGCCAGCCCUCCCACAUCCACAGAAAUGUACAGAUUUACACCUGCUUGAAGUUUUGGGUUUUGUAUUGGGCUGUAUCUCUUUCCCUCUGUAUCUUCACCAUUUGUCCAUGGCUGAAAGCAAAGCAUCCAUCUGCACUCUCAGCAGCUCGGCCCAGUGCACAGCUCAAGGCAUGGGGUACAACCCUGCAAGCUCAGCAGCCACAGGUGGUGGUGGCAAUGCAGGCGCUCAGUGCUGGCUCCGAGGCACUGCCAGGGCUGGGAGUGGGGCACAGAGCCAGCAGGGGACACGGGGUGAAGGAUGGGAUACGAGGACAGAGCCUUGCAGCUCCCCAGGCAGCAACAGCAGCUGCCAACACUGAAACCACAACGGGUGAUUUUGAGAAAAGUUAAGCAGUUUUAUUCAACGGGAUGAGUCCACCUCCAAGCAGUGGCUCCAUCUACACAGCAUCAUCAGCGCACAGGACAGAGGACCCAACCGCUCUGGCUGACGGCAUCGCACCAUACAUUACAGACACAACACCCACAGGGAGGAUGACGACCGUGACGAGGGGCAGCCCACAGCAGUUCCUGAGGGUUCCUGGCAGAACCAAAGCCCAGCAGAGCAUGCAGCCCAGCACCAGGAGCCCAGCAGCCUCAGGGCAUCCAGCACCACACCUUGAAAACCACAGCGCUGCCUGGUAGGUACACAGUCCAGCAUUACGAGAAUGGCACUGGGUGCACUGCAACCGUAGGACGAGAACUGCAUGGCCAUCAUUGCCCCACAGCUGGGCAUGAGGGCCUCCCACAGCAACACACACAGCCGGCCAUGGUCCUGGGAUGGGCUCAGGGUUGGGGGCUGCAGGCUCCGGGGCAGCACCGGCUCUGCAUGGCAGAGAACCCCCUGGGGGCAGCCCCACCUCCCGCAGGCCGUGGCCAUGCAGGGCUCAGCAGGAAUGGCACCCCAGCCCCGACUGCCUGCAGGCUGCAGCCAACUGCCCUGGGAAUCAUGAGCCUACAGUCUUUGAGCCUUGGAAGAGGUAUCGAGGAGCAGGAUAAAGUCACUCACAGAACAUGAGCAGGUUCCAGUUAUGAUAUCCUACCGUUUUGUGCCAAGUUACAGAAAAAUACAUUUCCCCCCCCGCCCCCCCCUAAAUUUACAGUAGUUAAAACUACAAUGGGAAUAUCUUAUUAAAAAGGGGUUGCCUACUCUUCAACAGAAUGUCUCGGCUUCCUUUUGUUCAAAAGAAAUCCUAAUUCUCAGUACUUCACUCAGCCACAGCACAACCGAACCGUACAAAGGAAAUCGCGAUGCUGCUCCCAGGACAUCGACUCCAACCAUUUGUUCUGGUGCUCAAAAAGGCACUUAAAGUUAAGAAAACAACUGUAUUAAAAACCCACAACAAAACAGAAGGAAACAAAAGGCAAUAAUUUAAUAGAAAAACACCGGCAUUUGUACCGCAUCUUCAAAAGGUAGGAAAAAAAACAAACCCAACAAACAUGGUUCGCUCUCAACUAAUCUCUGAAAAGAUAUUAAAAAAG
Coturnix japonica (Japanese quail) is the source of this 3257-nucleotide long non-coding RNA. RefSeq lists it as uncharacterized. NCBI's taxonomy places the organism in Eukaryota, Metazoa, Chordata, Aves, Galliformes, Phasianidae. The record is from RefSeq and is a predicted model, not a curated record.